CUCCGGUUGAUCCUGCCGGACCCGACUGCUAUCAGAGUGAGAUUAAGCCAUGCGAGUUAACGUAGCAAUACGUGGCGCACGGCUCAGUAACACGUAGUCAACAUGCCCAGAGGACGUGGAUAACCUCGGGAAACUGAGUCUAAACCGCGAUAAGUGAGGAUUUCUGGAAUGGUUCCUGACUAAAAUCUAUAUGGCCUCUGGAUUGGACUGCGGCCGAUCAGGCUGUUGGUGAGGUAAUGGCCCACCAAACCUGUAACCGGUACGGGCUCUGAGAGGAGGAGCCCGGAGAUGGGCACUGAGACAAGGGCCCAGGCCCUAUGGGGCGCAGCAGGCGCGAAACCUCUGCAAUAGGCGAAAGCCUGACAGGGUUACUCUGAGUGACUUUCGCUAAGAAAGUCUUUUGGCACCUCUAAAAAUGGUGCAGAAUAAGGGGUGGGCAAGUCUGGUGUCAGCCGCCGCGGUAAUACCAGCACCCCGAGUGGUCGGGACGAUUAUUGGGCCUAAAGCAUCCGUAGCUUGUUCUGCAAGUCCCCCGUUAAAUCCAGCUGCUCAACAGAUGGGCCGCGGAGGAUACUACAGAGCUAGGAGGCAGGAGAGGCAAGCGGUACUCAGUGGGUAGGGGUAAAAUCCGCUGAUCCAUAGAAGACCACCAGUGGCGAAGGCGGCUUGCCAGAACGCGCUCGACGGUGAGGGAUGAAAGCUGGGGGAGCAAACCGGAUUAGAUACCCGGGUAGUCCCAGCUGUAAACGAUGCAGACUCGGUGAUGGGUUGGCCUCGCGCCUGCCCAGUGCCGCAGGGAAGCCGUUAAGUCUGCCGCCUGGGGAGUACGGUCGCAAGACUGAAACUUAAAGGAAUUGGCGGGGGAGCCA
Molecule: ribosomal RNA, 869 nt
Filed under: uncultured archaeon
Lineage: Archaea
Description: bacterial SSU rRNA
Rfam family: Archaeal small subunit ribosomal RNA
Source: RNAcentral